Molecule: small nuclear RNA, 156 nt
Filed under: Zalophus californianus (California sea lion)
Lineage: Eukaryota; Metazoa; Chordata; Mammalia; Carnivora; Otariidae
Description: U4 spliceosomal RNA (ENSZCAG00015002747.1)
Rfam family: U4 spliceosomal RNA
About the family: U4 small nuclear RNA (U4 snRNA) is a component of the major U2-dependent spliceosome. The structure of U4 snRNA from yeast and human has been reported. U4 snRNA presents a k-turn RNA motif in the 5p-SL related to recognition of Snu13 protein.
Source: RNAcentral
AGCUUUGCGCAGUGGCAGUGUCGUAGCCAAUGAGGUUUAUCCGAGGCGCGAUUAUUGCUAAUUGAAAACUUUUCCCAAAAUUUAUUUAACACUAAACUGACCACUUUAAAGGGACUAGUUCAGUGAGUAACACUUAGUGAACUUACAGUGUUUGUG